AGAGUUUGAUCCUGGCUCAGAACGAACGCUGGCGGCAGGCUUAACACAUGCAAGUCGAGCGCUGUGGAGCAAUCCACGGAGCGGCGGACGGGUGAGUAACGCGUGGGAACAUGCCCUUUGGAUCGGAAUAACCCGAGGAAACCCGGGCUAAGGCCGGAUACGCCCUGAAAAGGGGAAAUAUUUAUAGCCAAAGGAUUGGC
RNAcentral lists this ribosomal RNA (200 nucleotides) under uncultured bacterium. Its description in RNAcentral is "partial 16S ribosomal RNA". It matches the Rfam family "Bacterial small subunit ribosomal RNA", at positions 8 to 230 of the family's 1533-position model. The record is from RNAcentral.